This 324-nucleotide ribosomal RNA is filed under the name Diacronema lutheri. RNAcentral describes it as "partial Bacterial small subunit ribosomal RNA". It matches the Rfam family "Bacterial small subunit ribosomal RNA", at positions 354 to 695 of the family's 1533-position model. The record is from RNAcentral. Lineage: Eukaryota; Haptophyta; Pavlovophyceae; Pavlovales; Pavlovaceae.
GUGGGGAAUAUUGGACAAUGGGCGCAAGCCUGAUCCAGCCAUGCCGCGUGAGUGAUGAAGGCCCUAGGGUUGUAAAGCUCUUUUGUGCGGGAAGAUAAUGACGGUACCGCAAGAAUAAGCCCCGGCUAACUUCGUGCCAGCAGCCGCGGUAAUACGAAGGGGGCUAGCGUUGCUCGGAAUCACUGGGCGUAAAGGGUGCGUAGGCGGGUCUUUAAGUCAGGGGUGAAAUCCUGGAGCUCAACUCCAGAACUGCCUUUGAUACUGAAGAUCUUGAGUUCGGGAGAGGUGAGUGGAACUGCGAGUGUAGAGGUGAAAUUCGUAGAU